CUUAGGGCCUGACAGCUCAGGUGACCCUUAACUCACUGCUUAAUUGGCACUGACUUGGCCAACAUCACCUCAGUGUUUUCUCAUCUGAAGCAGAGAAGAUAUUUGCUAAGCCCUAUUCAGGGCUGUUGAGGAAUCAAAUGAGAAGGUUAUCCGAAAGCACUUUGUGAUUAGACUGCAUAUAUAAAAACAUGCUGACUUCACUGUGACAGUUGCAUUUUCCGUGAACUGGCUGUGCACCUCCUGUUAUAGGGAGUUCCCAGGAGCCGGGUCAUGCCCGAGCCUUCCUGUGGAACUCCCCGAAGAACUUGGUCCCUCAUUUGGGAACAGCAACAAUCAAGAAGACCUGCCAAUGUCAGAACUGGAAGAGUACCAGAUUCCCAGAUUUAGUUCCAACAGUCAAGAGUCAAGGACUAUUCUAAGCUCUGAAGAUGCUGUAUUGGAAGCCUUUCCCCAUCCACCAGCAGAAUAUGAGGAAAUAGUCUGCAAAAUGUAACUGCUUCUCCAGCUGCUAAUUGCACAAAAGCAGAUGGGGUCUUUGCGGAUGAUUAAGUUCAGAUGAGGUCAUGGGGGUAGGCCCUAAUCCAAUACGAUUGUGUCCUUAUGAAAAGGGAAAAUUGGACACAGAGACAGACAUGAAGUUGGAGAGAGCACCAUGUAAAGAUGAAGGCAGGAAUCGGGACAAUUUUCAAGCCAAGAAACACCCAAGAUUGCCAGGAAACCAGCAGAAGCUAGAAGGAAGACAUGGAACAGAAUCUCCUUCACAGUCUUCAGAAGGAGCCACCCCUGCCAACAUCUGGAUGAUCUUGGACUUCAAGCUUCCAGAGCUGUUCAAGCCUCCGAACAAUACAUUUCUGUUGAUUAAGCCAUGUAGUUUGUGGCACUUUAUUAUAGUAGCCCUAAGAAAUGAAUACAGGGCCAGGUAUGGUGGCUCACACCUGUAAUCUCUGCACUUUGGGAGGCUGAGGCAGGAGGAUCACUUGAGACCAGCCUGGGCAACAUAAUGAGACCCUGUCCCUACUAAAAAAUUUUAAAACAAAAAUUAGCCAGAUGUGGUGGCACAUGUAGUCCCAGCUACUCAGGAGGCUGAGAUGGGAGGAUCACUUGAGCCAGAGAGGUCAAGGCUGCAGUGAGCCGUGAUCGCACAACUACACGCCAGCCUCCAUGACAGAGAGAGACUCUGUUUAAAAAAAUAAUAAUAAAAGAAACAAAUAUAAAGAGCUUUGGUCAUACUGUGCUACUCUCAUUGCUUAGGCUACAAGUGGGUAUAGUGUCCCAUGGCAACUUCAGGAUGCAAGGCCUAUAAUGCUCUAGGGCCAGGGCCCAGAACCUUUUGAAGAGUUGCCAAGAGCAAGUCAGGGCCUAAGGAACUGCCUAGGGCUAGAGUUCUGGGGCCAGCCUGUUCUUCACACCAGCCGGCUCUGACUUCUCACAGGGCCCAGUGACUUUCUUCAUGCCCUCCCCUUGCUCCUCAUGGAUGUAGGAGGGCCUGUCCUUGGGCCUCUCCAGCACCUCCCAGCCCAGCCCAGGCCACGGCCCCACUCCACCUCUGUUUUGAGGACUAACUUUCAUUUUUCAUUGCAUGUUCUUCUGACCUCUAAUUUUUGGCCCAAUCCGGAUUUUGCCUUUGGCUCUCUAGAUUAGACACAGAGCUCAUGGAGGCUGUGCUGCAAUUUGAACCAGGGAUAGGACAAGAAUGUCAGAGGCUGUUUAGGGAUCGUGGAGUGGGGGAGGGUUAUAGAGAAAGAAUGCAUUUGGCUCAGAUCAUAUUAAAAAAUCAAAACAACUCAUACUUUGAGUUUCCCAAGUGCUUUGGUGUAUAUUGCCCUUGAGCUAUACAAUGCAGCCCCUGGGGGACAGUUAAGAUGGGUGUCCUUAUUAUUUUAUUUACAUCUCCAUGUUAAAAAUGAAGGAACUGAGGCUCACCCAGGUUACACAACUUGACUGAAAUCACACAGUCCAUGCGGGAGCCAGCAUUUGGUUUUAAGUACAAGUUCUUUCUGCUCUGCCACGCUCUCCCCGCAUAGAUCAGCGCUCAGAAGCUAAAGGAGGAUGCAGAGCCUGGACUGAGAGGACACAGGCAGACGCAGACCAGACAUACUGACUUGGCUCUCCCUCCUCAGCAAGUAGCAACUGGCCAAAUACCACACACGAAUAACAAACACCUUGCAUUUAUAUAACACCUCACAAUUGACAGUGCUUUUACAAGCAUUGUCUCAUUCCAUCCUCACAAAUAAACCCAUGAGGUAAGCAGGAUGAACUCGGUUAUUCUUUUUUUUUUUUUUUUUUUUUUGAGACAGGGUCUCACUCUGUCGCCCAGGCUGCUGUGGCGCAAUCACAGCUCACUGCAGCCUCGACCUCCCGGGCUCAGGUAAUCCUCCCACCUCAGACUCCCUGAAUAGCUGGGAGUAUAGAUGUGCACCACCACACCUGGCUAAUUUUUGUAUAUUUUGUGGAGAUGGGUUUUUGCCAUGUUGCUGAGACUGGUCUUGAACUCCUGGGCUGAAACAAUCCACUCACUUCCAUCUCCCAAAGUGCUGGGAUGACAAGUGUGAGCCACCGCACCCGGCAAACCUGGUUAUUCUUAUUUUAAGAUGAAGCAACUAAGGAAAGGCAGGUUAAACUCCUGGCCCAUAGUCACAAAGUCAGGAGAAGUGGGACUCAAACCCAGUGUUUCUCUUUAAGUCCAUCUUCUUUCUUACUUCUCAGGAAGAGAGUACAAUCCAGGGACCGCAAAUACUUGGCACGCAUACAGUCUUAUCUUUUCCCACACCCAAGACAGACAUUACUAAUUGAUCACAGCAUUUUAGCCCAGAUUUGGCCUCAGGAUCCUCAGUAUAGUUCUCUGGGCAGCCCUUGUCAGCCAGAACAGACAAGCAAGAUGAAGACCUUUUCCAGCCUGCUCUAAGCAGUACCUAUAACUGGCUCAAGUCACAGAUACCAAGUGUACAAAUCCAUCUGAUUAGAAAUCUGGCUAAAAAUAAGAAGGACAAAACAGACGCUGGGGUCUACUUGAUGGGGGAGGGUGAAAGGAGGGAGAGCAACAGAAAAGAUAACUAUUGGGUACUAGGCUUAAAAUCUGGGUGAUGAAAUAAUCUGUACAACAGACCCGCAUGACAUGUGUUUACCUAUGUAACAUGCCUUCACAUGUACCCCCAAACCUAAAAUAAAAUUUAAAAUAAUAGUAAUAAAAAUAAUUUUCAUAAUGAGAUGAAGAAUCAGCUAAAUCAAAUAAUAUUUUUAAAACUCAUUUUAUUCAUUAAUUAUACAAUACAUGUUAAACACACAUAUAGUUAUAAAGUAUAUAACAUAAGGAAAUAUGGUUCAAGAUCUAAGAAGAGCCUAAAUUUGUUUUCUCCUACCUGUUAAUUUACAACCAGCACAAAAAUAAUAAUAGCUAACAUUGGCUGGGUGCAGUGGCUCAGGCCUGUAAUCCCAGCACUUUGGGAGGCCAAGGCGGGUGGAUCACUUGAGGUUAGGAGUUCAAGACCAGCCUGACCAACAUGGCGAAGCCCUGUCUUUACUAAAAAUACAAAAAUCAGCCAUGCAUGGUGGCAGGCACUUGUAGUCCCAGCUAUUCAGGAGGCCGAGGCAGGAAAAUCGCUUGAAUCUGGGAGGUGGAGGUUGCAGUGAACUGAGACUGCACCACUGCACUGCAGACUGGGCAACAGAGCAAGACUGCAUCUCAAAAAAAUAAAAUAAAUAAAUAGUAAUAAUAAAAAUAGCUAACAUAUUUUUGAGUACUUACUCUGUGUCAGGUGCUAUAUUAAGUACGUCUUCUGCAUUUCCCUAAAAAGUAGAUCUGAUUCUUCACAUUUUAGAGAUACGGGAAUUGAGGCUUUGAGGACUUAGGAAACUUGCCAGAUGCAACCUUAUACUGCUGAAUUCCACGAAUCUUGCUGCCUCAUUACACUGUCUCCCAGGCUGCAGACCAGCACUUUCUUGAUUCUUUGUAAAGGGAAACAUGUCUUACUUUUCCAAAUCCUUGAAAUCAACUGCUUGGAUAGGGAAGAAAACAAUAAGGGAUGUAGAUACCAACAGUAAAAUUGUCGAGCAAAGCAGGCUCCACGAGGCGUGGCCAAUGGGCAGCUGUUGGCAGUGGCGGAUGGGGGUUGUACAAUAUGAACAGGGCUUGGACAUGUGAACCAGAGUGUCCACAUGUGUAGGCAAAAAGGCCUUAGCUGUGCAGGACAGCAAGACAAUGGUGGAAAGAGACUGGGCUGGAGACUAGCUCUCCCCACAAUGCUGCACUCUGACAUGGACUUCAGAGGGGUCCACGAAGCUAAAUUUGACCCUGGAUUUGUACAUUUGGUCUCUAUGGCCUGAGCCAGUUAUAGGCACUGCUGAGAGCAGGCUGGAAAAGGUCUUCAUCUUGCUUUUCUCUUCUGGCUGACAAGGGCUGCCCGGAGAACUAUAUCGAAGAGGAUCCUGAGGCCAAAUCUGGACAAAAUGCUGUGAUUAAUUAGUAAUGUCUGUCCUCGGUGCAGGGGUGGAGGGUAUGAUAGGACAGUAUGUGUGCUAAGUGUUUGCCUUCCCUGGAAGUCCACAUUGUUAUGAAGGUAUAUUUGUCAAAGUAAAAGGGUGUGAUAUACCUUAUUGAGCAGUUUGUAGCUUGGUUUGUAACUUUCAGCUGUCGAGAUAUAUGGUAAGUUGGCCUCCAUUUGUACUUCUGUGCCUUUCCCUGCAUUUGUUAGAAGUGGGUCUAGUGAAAACCAGGCUUUCCUGCUUCUGCUGUUUUUGCUGCUCCUGCAAGCAGGCCACUCAUGGAGGUGUCUGUUGUCCUGUGGUGGUGGGAGAAGUUCUAGCCUCUGACUACUAGUUUUCUGAGUGUGAGAGUGUGUGUCAUACAUUCAUUUUAGUAAUGCCAAUUGCAGCAGGUGCAGCAAGGGUCGGAGUGGCAGCAGCCUCCAGACCAUAGGAGCCUCCUGAUCUUACCAAUGGCAGGGGCCUCCAGGGCCAGCCCCCUAGUUUGGAAGGCAGCCUCCCUAAUGCAGAAGAAACCAUGGCUUCUUUGGGGGCCUGAUUCUUUGGUGUCACUUAGGGAGUUGUUCCUGAAAGCUUAAGUUCGAAUCUGCUUCUUCAGCCUUCUCGAUGAUUCUAUAAGGCAUAUAAAUACCUGAAAUAAAUCCUUUCUAUAUAAAACUACUAGAGUGGAUUCUGUUCUAGGCAACUGACCAGCACAGGGCACUUAGCCUCCCCUCCAGGAACAAGGGAGACUCUGGUGACCUAGGAAAAUCACUUUUGAAUGCAUUCUAGGGCCUUGUCACUCCAUUGAACUUACUGUCUUUGGUAAGGUUUUCUCCGUUUUUAUUCUGUACCUGGGUUCAACCUCUCUACUACGGACUGAAUUCCUAAAAUUCAUAUGCUAAGCUCUAUCCUCCAAUGUGAUAGUGUUUAGAGAGAGCCUUUGGGAGGGGUUACAUGAGACCAUAAGUGUAGGGCCCUUAUAAUGGGAUUAGAGCCCUCAUAAAAAGAGACACCAGACAGCUUGCUUUCUCACUCUCCAACCAUGUAAGGGCAUAGCAAGAAGGCAGCCAUCUACAAGCCAGGAAAA
RNAcentral lists this long non-coding RNA (5551 nucleotides) under Homo sapiens (human). RNAcentral describes it as "HSALNT0086437". The record is from RNAcentral. Lineage: Eukaryota; Metazoa; Chordata; Mammalia; Primates; Hominidae.